GAAACAUGCCCCCAGUCUGUCUCCAACAGUGGGGAGAGGGGGGAGACAGUUCCCCCAAAGUGUUUUGUGCGUUCGGGGAGCAAGUGUGCAUGGGUGUGCGGGCUGGUGGGUGUGCAGCUGUCUGCGAGACAGAUGGCUCCGGGGUCAGGUUCUGACUAACUGCCCCCUCCCCUGACAGAUGCCAGUGAGGGCUGCACCGUGGUCGGUGGGGGCGUCCAGCCCUACCUAUAGAAGCCCCAGCUCAGCAAUGCAAGUAAGUGGGGACCCUGGUGUCACCUCCCACGCCCCCCCCCCAGCCUCCCUCCACCGAGUGAGCUGUAAACUUGCUUAAUGUAUGUUUGCUGCCUCUGGUCCUGGAGUCUGAGGACAGAGCACUGCAGCGUUCUUCGGUCUUUUUGUUUUGUUUUGUUUUGUUUUUCCUUUAAGUGGGAACCUAGCUGGUCUCUAUAGAGUCCCCCCUUUUCCACUCCAGUUCUGGUUUGAAGAAUCACUCCUUUCACUGGAAUAUGUAUGUGGCACCAGUGCUGUUGUCUUCUCUUUGAAAAAUAGAUUACUAAAAUUUGGGUAUCUGUAUGCAGUUGGGGACCGUUUUUACUGCACUGCACACAUAAGUAGACACUGGCGCUGAUGAGCUGGUGGUGCAGAGCGUGGGGCAUCAGAGCCUUUAGAGGUGGUGUUUGCACAGUAAGCCCGAAGAGAAGUGAGCCGCACUGGCCGUUUAUCAGGCCAGGCCCCCGUGUCCAGAUGGAAUAGAUAGGAGCCUGCAGUUUGCCUGGCUCACAGCAGCAUCUCGGAAAAAUACCUACUUUACAACUAGGCAAAAUUACUAAUCACAGAUCUCGAAGAUGUUGGGAGAGAGGCGGAAUCAUUUCAGGUCGACUCAUUUUUGUAAUGUGAUAACGUUGAUGUGGAACUGAAGGAUUUGGGAUGAUUUGGUUUUUUCCUUGGUCCACAGGUAGGUGUCACAAUUGCUUUGGAAAAAAAAAAAAGUCAGCAGGCCAUUCUCUCUCCCCAAGUUCAUAAAUAUACAGAUAGAAAAAACCAUCUCUAAAUCCGGACCGCAUCUUGCCCCACUGUAAACGAGGAGCCACAGACUCUGACAGAACAGACCUUUGUUGGACAUAACGUGAAUUUGUUGGCAUAGUAUAGCGUCCCCCGAUGUACGUGUGACUUUUGAAAACAAUCUUUUUUCUCAGGAUAUCUUGAAUUGAUCACUUCAUUGCCACGGUAUAUAUUCUAUAGGUGUGAUAGGAUUUACUGUAAAAUUUAUUUGUAAAAGAUGUACACAGUAGAAAUAAAACGUGAUUGAAGAACUUGAGUACUUAAGAAGUGGAAACAAAUUUGAUAUUUAUUUUUAUAAUGAUAUAAAGCUUCUAGUAAUUUAUGCAAGUUGUAUUGCAAUGGAAUCUAAACUUUUUGUAAAUAAAUUCUGCCUGGUUUUUAUUUGAACAUUGCUGGUUAUACAAUCUUUGUUGGUUGUUUAACAAGAAUUCUCUACUAAUUUAUAUCUUAAAUUGUAAAUAAAAACAGACUAGUCUAC
This 1540-nucleotide long non-coding RNA is filed under the name Lynx pardinus (Iberian lynx). The record is from RNAcentral. Lineage: Eukaryota; Metazoa; Chordata; Mammalia; Carnivora; Felidae.